ACGGGUGAGUAAUACGUAGGAAUCUUCCUUAAAGUGGGGGAUAACCCGGGGAAACCCGGGCUAAUACCGCAUAAUUUCUGAGGAAAAAAGGAGGGGACUCUUCGGAGCCUUUCGCUUUAAGAUGAGCCUACGCCGGAUUAGCUAGUUGGUAGGGUAAAGGCCUACCAAGGCAACGAUCCGUAGCUGGUUUGAGAGAACGACCAGCCACACUGGGACUGAGAUACGGCCCAGACUCCUACGGGAGGCAGCAGUGGGGAAUAUUGGACAAUGGGCGAAAGCCUGAUCCAGCAAUGCCGCGUGUGUGAUGAAGGCCUGCGGGUUGUAAAGCACUUUCAGUGGGAAAGAAAUACUCAAAGCUAAUAACUUUGAGGGUUGACGUUACCCAAAGAAGAAGCACCGGCUAACUCUGUGCCAGCAGCCGCGGUAAUACAGAGGGUGCAAGCGUUAAUCGGAGUUACUGGGCGUAAAGGGCGCGUAGGCGGAUAUUUAAGUCGGAUGUGAAAUCCCUGGGCUUAACCUAGGAAUUGCAUUCGAUACUGGGUAUCUGGAGUAUGGUAGAGGCAAGCGGAAUUCCCGGU
This 578-nucleotide ribosomal RNA is filed under the name uncultured bacterium. Its description in RNAcentral is "bacterial SSU rRNA". It matches the Rfam family "Bacterial small subunit ribosomal RNA", at positions 102 to 674 of the family's 1533-position model. The record is from RNAcentral.